RNAcentral lists this ribosomal RNA (323 nucleotides) under uncultured eukaryote. RNAcentral's name for it is "partial 18S ribosomal RNA". It matches the Rfam family "Eukaryotic small subunit ribosomal RNA", at positions 1470 to 1796 of the family's 1831-position model. The record is from RNAcentral.
CCCUUAGAUGUUCUGGGCUGCACGCGUGCUACACUGAUAUUGCCAAUAUGUCAUUCUUAUCCGAAAUGGAUUGGGUAAUCAAGUAAUGAAAUUUCAUGCUUGGAAUCGGUAAUUGCAAUUUUAUCGUGAACGAGGAAUUCCCAGUAAGCACUAGUCAUCAGCUAAUGUUGAUUAUGUCCCUGCCCUUUGUACACACCGCCCGUCGCUACUACUGAUUGGGUGUUCAAGUGAGAUGCUUAGACCCUUGUUGCAUGGUUCAUUAUUGUGCUCCGAAAGGAAAAAGUUUCAAGCUUGAGUGUCUAGAGGAAGUAAAAGUCGUAACA